UAGAUGUACCUGGCUACGCUUAAAGCCGAUGUUUUCUAUCGAACUAGUCUAUUUUCUUAUCAGACACAAAGUUUCUGAUGCUACUAUUAUGUCAGUGUGUGCUUGUGUGGGGGUCGUGUGAUGUAAUCUUUGAAAGUUUAUGACCGAACCUUUAUUGGGGAGCGACAGGAGAACUCCGGGAUCAGUUUGGAUGGAGCAGAGAUGUUAUACUCAAGUCUAUUGCGAAAUUGUCUAAACUGGUAUUAACUAUUCCUGGUAAAUCGCGGAGAAGAGUGGCCUGAACAAAAAAAAGUCAGACCGAGACUAGAACCUCCGCAGCGUAACACGGAAAUCUUGGAACAAAAGAGACGCCGACUGGCUCGUGUUGUCCGGUUUGGAUAUCAGCGGCAAAGCGAACGUUGUGUGUACUAUUGCAAAAUAUAUAGCGGAUCUCCACGGUUAGGAUACAGACCACAACGCUUUGGACGUAUCUUUAAAAAAGAUUAAAAUCAGAGACUUUUUGGAUUUGUCUGGGGACAUUUUAAACAUUUUGUGGCAAAUUGGAUUUAAAACAUUUCGGAUACUGGAUACCUAGUUUGAUUUGUACACAGAGCUUGUUUAAGACGUUUUCACCGCAUUUUAGGGUUUAUUUUUAAUUAAAGGCUUCUUAAAACAGGUGUGAAAAUGUGUAUAUUAUACAAUGAGUCUUAUAUUGUCUGCUCUGACAAAAAUAAAUUAUUAUUUUAGAUUUUAGAUCAAUUGACUGUGUGUGUUUUAUGUCAAGCGUAUUCUGUUAUGUUUAAUGACGGCUCGUGUGACAGAUUGUGUUUUGGCAUUUGAUGUCAGAUAUCACACUUCCU
Long non-coding RNA from Paramisgurnus dabryanus, 839 nucleotides. RefSeq lists it as uncharacterized. The record is from RefSeq and is a predicted model, not a curated record. Lineage: Eukaryota; Metazoa; Chordata; Actinopteri; Cypriniformes; Cobitidae.